Long non-coding RNA from Heterocephalus glaber (naked mole-rat), 1789 nucleotides. The record is from Ensembl. NCBI's taxonomy places the organism in Eukaryota, Metazoa, Chordata, Mammalia, Rodentia, Bathyergidae.
CCCUCGGGCGCGCCUGCGUGGAAGGGACCACCCCACCUCCCCCUGCCCAGUUCCCAGCUGCCUGCUCGGGGUCGCCCCGCAGAAUCAGCCCACCAAUCCAUCAGCGGGCAGCAGGCUCCGAGCUGCUGGGGGCAUAAAUCAAAUGGCAAGGAGGAAAGGUUUAAAAAAAGGAAGAGACCGAUUGCUCGCUUUUCUGACCACGAAGACAGCUACAAAACUCCUACUGAUGACAAAACAGACCCGUAGCAGGAACUCUAGACUUCUCUCCGGUUGGGAUUUAGUACCGCUGGGCUCCUUUCUGAUCCUCGCUAGGAACUAAGUCAUCAAGAUGUAUAGCCCCACCCCCACCCCCCUUCUUCUUUAGCUCGAGCAGGUAACUUUCCAGAAGAGGAGCUGGCUGCAGAAUCUUUUACACUUGGGGUAAGACGGCUGAGUGUCAACAAACAGUAGCUGUCCUGAUGUAUCAGGUCUUCAAUGAUGCUUUAAUCUCAAGACCACUUGAUUCUUACCGCAACUGAGAAACCUUACAGGUAGAAAUACACGCGCGAUCUAGGGCCUUUUGGCUCUAGAGUGCUUUUCAAGAAUGUAACUCUUGGAGCACACUGUAGGACAGCGCUGGGCAAAUCCUGGCUUCAGGUCAGAGCUUGAUGCUCAGAGGUGAAGCGAGUUCCGGAUUUCUUCCUGGUUAGACAGGAAGCAGUUAAACAACUCUGUUCUCCUACCACAAGGAGGCGCUGUGAAGAUCGCGGUAGACCUGGAUCUUGGUUCUUGGUCACAGCGUUCUCAUAAUUAGAGACAUCCAGGAUGAGCCCAAAGGGACCUCAGAGGUGCCAGGUUUGGUGCCACCCUGUCACAGAGUGGCACCAUAGGGCAGAGGUGUCUCUGGUUCUCGCCUGGUGCUGGAGCCAGGCUUUGGGUGGCCACUAGGUCUCUGCAGGGUACUGAAGGCCUGCAGAGUCCUCCUCCUCCAGAGCAGUGAUGCUUCCAGAACCAGUGAGCACUUGCGUUUCUGCUCCUGUCUUUAAUCAGAGUGGUUUCAAGUGUCUGGUUUAUUUUUUAAACAUAGGAAAGAUUUAGCAUCAAACUUACAAGUAUUAAUCUUUGGACAUACUUUAUUUUGGAAUAAUUCAGAUUUAUAGAAAAGUGGUGAAGAUAAUACAGACAGAGGCCAUAUACCGCUCUCCCAGCCUCCCCCAAUGCUGACCUCCAAAUGACCAGGGAAGGGAACAUUAGUUUAUUACUAUUCACUAACGCCUGAAUUGGAUUUCAGCAAGGUCUCUCUUACUGUCUUUUUACUGUCUUGGCAUCUGGUCAGGGUACCAUACUGCAUUUAAGAGGGUAUUACUUUCUAUUACAAUACAGAAUUAAUUUCCUAAACAAACCAUGCCACAUGCACACACACACACACACACACACACACACACACACACACACACAAAGAAAGGAAAAGUCCCCUCUGCCCUAUUAAGUUUGGUCUGUAGCCUUCUAGAUCUUCAUCAUCCAAUACGAUACCUGGCUGAUGAGGUGACCACAAGUUAAAUGAACUAAAAUCCACCAUAACUAACAUUCAGUUCCUCAGUCACACUGAUUACAUCCCAUGGGCUCAGUAGCACACAUUGCUGGUGGUUACCAGCCCCAGGCAGCAUAGAGAGCAGAGCCUUCCAUAGCACACCGGGCUUGCAUUGUUCUAGGUGUGUUUCUAGGUUUAAAUAUACGUGUUUAACAUUUUACCUAAUUUUUUCCCCCAUUGAUUGACUUUUUCUUUCAUUAAAAGAUUUGUAGCAUGCAA